RNAcentral lists this unclassified non-coding RNA (429 nucleotides) under uncultured Entrophospora. RNAcentral describes it as "SSU rRNA". It matches the Rfam family "Eukaryotic small subunit ribosomal RNA", at positions 569 to 1004 of the family's 1831-position model. Lineage: Eukaryota; Fungi; Glomeromycota; Glomeromycetes; Entrophosporales; Entrophosporaceae. The record is from RNAcentral.
AGCAGCCGCGGUAAUUCCAGCUCCAAUAGCGUAUAUUAAAGUUGUUGCAGUUAAAAAGCUCGUAGUUGAAUUUCGGGAUCAGUACGCUGGUCAUGCCUUUGGUAUGUACUGGUGUCACUGGUUCCUACCUUCUGACGAACCGUCAUGUCAUUUAUUUGGUGUGGCGGGGAAUCAGGACUGUUACUUUGAAAAAUUGAGUGUUUAAAGCAGGCUCGCGCUUGAAUACAUUAGCAUGGAAUAAUGAAAUAGGACGUUUGAUCCUAUUUUGUUGGUUUCUAGGAUUGACGUAAUGAUUAAUAGGGAUAGUUGGGGGCAUUAGUAUUCAAUUGUCAGAGGUGAAAUUCUUGGAUUUAUUGAAGACUAACUACUGCGAAAGCAUUUGCCAAGGAUGUUUUCAUUAAUCAAGAACGAAAGUUAGGGGAUCGAAGA